This 484-nucleotide ribosomal RNA is filed under the name uncultured bacterium. RNAcentral's name for it is "partial 16S ribosomal RNA". It matches the Rfam family "Bacterial small subunit ribosomal RNA", at positions 30 to 507 of the family's 1533-position model. The record is from RNAcentral.
AUUGAACGCUGGCGGCAGGCCUAACACGUGCAAGUCGAGCGGAUGAAGGGAGCUUGCUCCUGGAUUCAGCGGCGGACGGGUGAGUAAUGCCUAGGAAUCUGCCUGGUAGUGGGGGAUAACGUCCGGAAACGGGCGCUAAUACCGCAUACGUCCUGAGGGAGAAAGUGGGGGAUCUUCGGACCUCACGCUAUCAGAUGAGCCUAGGUCUGAUUAGCUAGUUGGUGGGGUAAAGGCCUACCAAGGCGACGAUCCGUAACUGGUCUGAGAGGAUGAUCAGUCACACUGGAACUGAGACACGGUCCAGACUCCUACGGGAGGCAGCAGUGGGGAAUAUUGGACAAUGGGCGAAAGCCUGAUCCAGCCAUGCCGCGUGUGUGAAGAAGGUCUUCGGAUUGUAAAGCACUUUAAGUUGGGAGGAAGGGCAGUAAGUUAAUACCUUGCUGUUUUGACGUUACCAACAGAAUAAGCACCGGCUAACUUCGUG